Molecule: ribosomal RNA, 778 nt
Filed under: Cellulosimicrobium cellulans
Lineage: Bacteria; Bacillati; Actinomycetota; Actinomycetes; Micrococcales; Promicromonosporaceae
Description: bacterial SSU rRNA
Rfam family: Bacterial small subunit ribosomal RNA
Source: RNAcentral
GCUUGCUGGGUGGAUUAGUGGCGAACGGGUGAGUAACACGUGAGUAACCUGCCCUUGACUUCGGGAUAACUCCGGGAAACCGGGGCUAAUACCGGAUAUGAGCCGUCCUCGCAUGGGGGUGGUUGGAAAGUUUUUCGGUCAGGGAUGGGCUCGCGGCCUAUCAGCUUGUUGGUGGGGUGAUGGCCUACCAAGGCGACGACGGGUAGCCGGCCUGAGAGGGCGACCGGCCACACUGGGACUGAGACACGGCCCAGACUCCUACGGGAGGCAGCAGUGGGGAAUAUUGCACAAUGGGCGAAAGCCUGAUGCAGCGACGCCGCGUGAGGGAUGAAGGCCUUCGGGUUGUAAACCUCUUUCAGCAGGGAAGAAGCGCAAGUGACGGUACCUGCAGAAGAAGCGCCGGCUAACUACGUGCCAGCAGCCGCGGUAAUACGUAGGGCGCAAGCGUUGUCCGGAAUUAUUGGGCGUAAAGAGCUCGUAGGCGGUUUGUCGCGUCUGGUGUGAAAACUCGAGGCUCAACUUCGAGCUUGCAUCGGGUACGGGCAGACUAGAGUGCGGUAGGGGAGACUGGAAUUCCUGGUGUAGCGGUGGAAUGCGCAGAUAUCAGGAGGAACACCGAUGGCGAAGGCAGGUCUCUGGGCCGCAACUGACGCUGAGGAGCGAAAGCAUGGGGAGCGAACAGGAUUAGAUACCCUGGUAGUCCAUGCCGUAAACGUUGGGCACUAGGUGUGGGGCUCAUUCCACGAGUUCCGUGCCGCAGCAAACGCAUUAAGUGCCC